Molecule: ribosomal RNA, 286 nt
Filed under: uncultured prokaryote
Description: partial 16S ribosomal RNA
Rfam family: Bacterial small subunit ribosomal RNA
Source: RNAcentral
UACGUAGGGGGCGAGCGUUACCCGGAAUCACUGGGCGUAAAGGGAGCGUAGGUGGCCUGACAUGUCGACUGUGAAAACCCGGAGCUCAACUCCGGACUUGCAGUUGAAACUGCCAGGCUUGAGGACGGUAGAGGAAGACGGAACUGCCAGUGUAGGGGUAAAAUCCUUAGAUAUUGGCAGGAACGCCGGUGACGAAGGUGGUUUUCUGGGCCGGUUCUGACACUGAUGCUCGAAAGCCAGGGGAGCGAACGGGAUUAGAUACCCCGGUAGUCCCUGAGCGGGCUGG